Non-coding RNA from Rattus norvegicus (Norway rat), 4214 nucleotides. The record is from RefSeq and is a predicted model, not a curated record. Lineage: Eukaryota; Metazoa; Chordata; Mammalia; Rodentia; Muridae.
GACGCAGAGAGGGCUGUGGUUAGGAAACUUGAAGUCCAGGGGUCCAGCCUGAACCUCACUGAUACCAGCUACUCUCAUGAGUCUGCAGAGGGAAGAUACUGGGCUGACCAUGCUCAUUAGCAUGUGAAUAAGAGACUGUGACACAGGGAACCUGCUGUAGUGACUUCCUGGCUUAUACCUGUCAUCUCUGUCAAUCAACAUGCUCUUAAGGAUCCAAGGGACCCGAUCUCUCUGCCGUAUCCACUUGGACAGGGAUAAGAGCAAAGAGCUGGAAUUCAGAGCUGACUCAGCCCUGACAGAUGUGCACGGGGCCAGGAAUCUGGUUGGAGACAUCCACCGUUCACAUGUGGGGAAGUAUCCCAGAGUGACUUGUGCGACCACUGACCAGGUAGAUCCUACUCGGUGUUUCCAGUUCAGAAAACAGUGGUGAUGGGCUGAUAAGUUCAGCUGACUCAGCCACACUCAGUCCUGGGUCCAUCUCUACCAGCUGAAUUCCCACCUUCCUCUAGGAUAGGGACCUCUGGACUCUGACCCACUUCCUGUGGCUUUAGGGGCAAGAGGCCUAUGGGCUGCUACUUGUGUAUAGAGGCUGAGGAGGGGUGUGUGUAAACGGCAGACCUCUGUGUGUGUGACCAUUAGAGAAGGUUCUUUGGCUUCGGCUGCCUAGUGAGGCCGUGUGUGAAGAACGCAUUUGAUAGGGCAGCUGGGAACGGGGCGGGAGAAUCCUCGGAACGGUUUCAAGAGAAACAGCAUUGGACUUGGACCCAAAAUGCAUAGUCUCGAGUCUGUCCUGCCUUUGGACACUUCUCUAUGACUCUAUUUCUUCGUCUGCAAAACAGCAGUGCUCUCUACUCCUGCAAGCCUGUGUCUGGGAAGGUUCCUUGAUGCACUUCGGAGAACCGGAUGGCUAUAAAGGAUAGAGCGGUCUUUCCUCCCUUAGGACAGACAUGAGUAUCAUGGAUCCCCUUCCUCAGCUGAAGAAACCGUGGCGUGGAACAAAAGGUCAAAUCCAAGAUCCCUGGUUGGCUUAGGCCCUUGGUCUCCUCACCAAAUUUCUUGCGCUGCUCAUCAGUCAGUGCGGAACCUGCCCCACCGGCCCCAUGUAUGCUCUCACCCUGACCGAGCUCCGCAUGGGCCCCAGGUCGUGGUUGUAGGCUUCUGCCAUCAGCACAUGGGACGAGUUUCGCUCCCUGUCCAGGGGCCUUGGGCCUCGCACCAGGAGCCCGCUGCUGACGUGGAGCCGGAAGUUGUUGCCAUGGUUACCUGUGGAGGGACACAAGAGAUGUAUGGGCUGGACUGGGUGGAAGAUGCCCACGAGAUAGAAGGCGGUGAGUUCCAGGACCUAUGGUGUGCUGGUCCUGCCCACAGGACUUGGGUGUCGAAUUAAUUAUUAAUUAACAAAUCCCAGUUCGGGAUUGCUACCCACCUCGAUGGCUUAUGAGUGAAAGACACAUACAUAGCCUUUAUAUUUUAAUAAGCCUUAAGCGGCACAGUAGCUGGGCACCUGCCUAGCCUCCAUACUACUAGAAUCUACCUCCCACCAAUAAUUCUGAGUUACUACUUACUACAUUCUACGUUUUGCCUUGGCUGCCCUGGACUCAGUGCUUUGGCUCUCCCGGCUCUGGCACGUGGCAGCCAUGCCUCUCUGUCCUACACUCUUCACAGGCUCGGUGUCUCUCCUCUCCUCCACACUUUCUUAGCAUGGCGGAUUUCCUCCUUUCCUUCUUGUUCCUGGUCCCAAGUCUGGGAAAAAUCUCAAACCCCAGCUCUGUCUGUUCUCCUCAGCUAUUGGCUGUUGGCAUUUUUAUUUACCAAUGAGAACCAACUGGGGACAGAGUCCCAAAAGCAAAUGGUUUUUUGAGGGAUACAAAUUAGCAUUAGAAUACAAGCAGCUACAUUUCCUCCUUUUUGUCCAAUUAAAAAGGUUCUUUUCUCUCAGAUACACAUUGAACAUAAUUAAAACAAUUAUGUAAAUUGUAAGGUCUGAUAGACAUAACAUUUAGUCUAUCAUAUUUGGCAAUGUAGAUAAAGUAUUCUAUCAUCUACCCCAACGUAAAGAGUUUAUAAUUCUGUACCUCAAAUACAUUUGAUUUUAACUUGUAUUACCAGCUGAAAACCAUCCCUUCACUUGGGAAUUUGGUUCAAGUCCACAAUGGCCUAAUAGAGGGGGUCACGGAACUGAAGCCCACCUACCUCUUCCUUAUGUGAAGUCUGGGGUCUAACCCUUAUCUCCACACCUCCAUUUCUAUUGGGGAAAUGGAAGCUUUUCUAAGGGGUCUUGGACCCAAACCCUACUGUUGGUAGGUGAGUGAUGCAGUGGACCUGACUGGGCCGGGUUGGUACCUAUGGGCUUUAUUUCUCUCCAGGGACACCCUUAUCCAUACUUGGUCCCUGGAGUUCAUGCAGGGUGGCUGCACUCCUGAUCCUGGUGAGUGGUGUUUCAUGCUCUGGCUGUGGUGAACAGCUCAGAGAGGGCUCAUGUUUCUAGGAGGACCCAGGAGAGUGAAUCGCCAAUGACCUUCCAGGGGCUGCCCUGACUUCCAAGGUCUUCUCUGUCAGCUUUGAGAAUACUGUAGCAUGUGGAGCCCUUAGGUACAAGGCCAGCAUACCGACCGACCAACCGACCGACCAACCGACCGACCAACCGUUCUUUGCUUAGUGUAAACGUCAGUGUAAAUACUCAACUUAGUGUAAACCAUCAGGAACCCACAUUCUUCUGAGCUGCAGCUUGUGUAUGUGGUGCUUCAACCUCUGCUCUGCUCAGCCUAAAGGAAGUGCUGUCUCCGAAGGGCAGCAGCCAUCCCUCUCAGCCCACUUACCAUGGAGGAUGCGGUACCAGACACGUCCAAACUCGCCCUCGUCUGCAUCUGUGGCUUUCAGCUGAAGGAGAAGAGACAGUGGAAUUAUUCCCGACCCCAAGGCAGGGAGGGUAGCUGUCCUUAACAGAGUCCCCCAUACUUGACCCCAGGCAUUUGUGUGAGUCCUGUUUAUUGUCUACACGGACACUCUGCCAUCUGUGGUCUAUGUCACCCCAUCCAGGACCACCCACCCCUGCCCUUUCUCAUGAGGGACGGGGCUGGGGGGACAUGUGAGAUAUUCCGUCAUUACUCUCUGGCCCAGGCUGAAAGAGGCCACUCCAUACCUCUAUGACCCCCUACCAGUGAGGCUCUUGGUGUCUUAGGACCAUCAUGAGAGUGACUCUGAAACAGCUGCUGCAUCACUGAAAAGCCCACCCCAGCAUGAGUGCCGAUGCAUAAAAGUUGUGUCCCUGGAGCUUCCCUGAGCAACUUGCGGGCGGUUCCACUGAAGAGUUUCCCAUGAUCCGUAAGUAAACUGUGCUCCUAUAGACUUACUGGUUCACCAAAGGAGCACUGGGUGGAAUCAUUUGUUUUUAUCACGAGUGCCCUAUGUGGGGUGAGACACCACCUAUGUGUUGGUAGACACCACCCUGGGGAAGCUUUGCAACAGAAUUGGUUACCUAUUGUGAUUUAGAUGUGGAAUGCUCCCCUGUCACCUUACUACUUAAAGUUGAAGUUUACCAGUUGACAGCCUUCUGGGGCUCGGCUGCCUACAAAAUGAAGGACUCCCUUUGUGGGCAGGGCUUCCCCUUCCCUGACCUCUCUCCCCCAUUACCUCUGCCUGAAGAAUGUCAUAUAACUUUAGUUAGAUUACAGGUUCAACUUACUUUCUCCUGAUCAGAAACGAUUCUGUUAGCACCUGAGAUUCCCGAAAUGCUUCCCCAUGCUAAUGAGGCAUUUUGGUACCCUAAGCCCUCAGCCAAUGACCUUUGCCCAUCCUGGAUAUUUCUACCGCUGAUUCCCCAAAACUACAUAAGCCUUGAAUCACCCCAAGUAGAAUUGAUGUGACUCCCUGCAGAUGGUCCUGGUGUGUCUUAUAUACUCUAAUCUAUGUACUCACAGGGAUUAGUCCUCAGAUAGUGACACUGUUUGGGAAGGUGGUGGAACCUUUAGGAGACAGUGCCUCACCAUGAAAGAAGUGGGUCACUGGGGACUGGACUUAGCCUCAUAGCCUGCCUCUACUUCCCAUUCACUCUGCUUCUGUGGCCGGGGAUCUGGAGGAGCAGGAGGCAAGAACAGUCAGGAGUGGGGGAGACCUCAGGCAACCAGUGAACGCUGUGAGAAACAGACAUCUUUGGAGGUAGGCUUCAUUGAGCAGCCUGUUUAAUUGUGGAGAAUAAAGGGUAUUUAAACCUC